RNAcentral lists this long non-coding RNA (1463 nucleotides) under Rosa chinensis. RNAcentral describes it as "sRNA RchiOBHm_Chr1g0346711". Lineage: Eukaryota; Viridiplantae; Streptophyta; Magnoliopsida; Rosales; Rosaceae. The record is from RNAcentral.
UCUCCUCCCUUCCUUCCUUCAUCUACGUCCUCAGCUUCUUCGGCAUCAACUCCGUCCAGUCCGGCAUCGACUCUGUCCAGUCCGUCCUCAGCUUGUUCGUCGAAGCAUUUCUAAACAGUGCCGUUCCGUCUUAGCCUCUGGAAUCAAAGCAAGAGAGCGGCGGCCAGUCGGCGCGACUCACUUCAGAGAACGACUCUGUUGUGGGAUUCGAAGGAUUUGCCUGUUGAAGGAUUCUAGGAGUCGCCGGUCGGAGACGAAGUAAUCUUACUUGUGAGCGAUUGCAUUUGGGGAGUUGAGCGACUAUUCAGAGUUGUGAUCGACAAGCAGGUCAUUUACUCGAGCCCCUCUUUUAUUUUUUGCUCUUCCAUGUUUUCAUUUGUGAAGUUUGUUUGAUUUUGGGCGAAAACAUAGAGGACCUACAUCGAUUUCCUGGCUUGAAGCCGUUGCAGCCUUAAACCGCUAAGUCGGGGUUUUAAGGCAAAAGAAAUCCAACCUUGUCCAGAGGUUAGAGACGGCGGGACUGUGGCAGGAGACGAAGGGCUGCUCUGAAAUUUCCGAUUCCUCGAAAUGAGAUGGAGCAAUAAGCAAUGUCAAGCAUUCCCCAAAUUGCAGAUAACCGAAAUAGCUUUCGUCUUCAAAUUUGAUCUCAAUCAGUAGAGAGUUAGGGAUUUGAUUUUCCAAUUUUGGGCGCGAAAAGGUGGACCAGAAAGAGAAGAUAAGGUCUCUUUGGAGCUGACAGAGGAGAUUAAUUGAAAGCAUGGAAGUUGGGCUGGCUUUCAGGGACUACGUUACUUGAUAGAAAAGAUUGAAUUUGAAAAUCUACUUCACAAAGCUUCAGUGUCUUUUUGUGCAACUCGAGUUGCUUCUUCAGGCCAUAUGGUGGGUAUUCGUAUCUCUUGGAGCCUCUGUGCUGGUUGGGAUUGAUUACAAACUAAUCAACUCUUGUAACGAACAAGCAGUAUGUGUUUUAUUCCAACAUUGGUAGCAGGACAUAAGUUAGAAGCUGCUAUUUAUCGAUAUUACUGGCAAAGUAGCUCUUGAUUCAUGCUGGUCAACUGGUGGAUUUACCGACUGUUUACUUCAGUAUGGUGCAUUGUUUGUUUAUGGAGUUGAUAUUGGAUAUGGCCAGGUUGCAGAUGAACUUGUAGCAGAGUUUUCUGACCCUAUCAAUGGUGUCACAUCCCCUGAUCAAAUUGACGAGGUGCGCAUUGAAUAAGUGGUUGAUUAUAUACAGAGUUUGAUGUAGGAAUGUGACUGCCAAGAUGUUUUUUGAGUAAGGCUAGCUAGUUUUGGCUUUGAAGCAAAGCUUGGUGUGGAACUUUUGUACAUUGUUGCUCGUAUGUUUCCAAGCUAGCUUUUGUAAGUUUAGGGGUUUAUUUUGUGAAUUAUGUUGAAUCAUGAAUUUGGAAAGAAAAUUAAUGGGAAAGCCCCUUAUUUUGGAUGAUGAGAAAUGCAAUUUUUUU